CAGUCGCCGCGGUAAUACAGAGGGUGCGAGCGUUAAUCGGAUUUACUGGGCGUAAAGCGUGCGUAGGCGGCUUUUUAAGUCGGAUGUGAAAUCCCUGAGCUUAACUUAGGAAUUGCAUUCGAUACUGGGAAGCUAGAGUAUGGGAGAGGAUGGUAGAAUUCCAGGUGUAGCAGUGAAAUGCGUAGAGAUCUGGAGGAAUACCGAUGGCGAAGGCAGCCAUCUGGCCUAAUACUGACGCUGAGGUACGAAAGCAUGGGGAGCAAACAGGAUUAGAUACCCCUGUAGUCCCUGUCUCUUAUAC
This 301-nucleotide ribosomal RNA is filed under the name uncultured bacterium. Its description in RNAcentral is "partial 16S ribosomal RNA". It matches the Rfam family "Bacterial small subunit ribosomal RNA", at positions 509 to 807 of the family's 1533-position model. The record is from RNAcentral.